CCUACGGGUGGCAGCAGUGGGGAAUAUUGGACAAUGGGCGAAAGCCUGAUCCAGCCAUGCCGCGUGUGUGAAGAAGGCCUUCGGGUUGUAAAGCACUUUCAGUGGGGAAGAAAGCCUUGGGGCUAAUACCCUCGAGGAAGGACAUCACCCACAGAAGAAGCACCGGCUAACUCCGUGCCAGCAGCCGCGGUAAUACGGAGGGUGCGAGCGUUAAUCGGAAUUACUGGGCGUAAAGCGCGCGUAGGCGGUCUGAUAAGCCGGUUGUGAAAGCCCCGGGCUCAACCUGGGAUCGGCAUCCGGAACUGUCAGGCUAGAGUGCAGGAGAGGAAGGUAGAAUUCCCGGUGUAGCGGUGAAAUGCGUAGAGAUCGGGAGGAAUACCAGUGGCGAAGGCGGCCUUCUGGACUGACACUGACGCUGAGGUGCGAAAGCGUGGGUAGCAAACAGGAUUAGAUACCCGAGUAGUC
This 465-nucleotide ribosomal RNA is filed under the name Vreelandella stevensii. RNAcentral's name for it is "partial 16S ribosomal RNA". It matches the Rfam family "Bacterial small subunit ribosomal RNA", at positions 338 to 795 of the family's 1533-position model. The record is from RNAcentral. Lineage: Bacteria; Pseudomonadati; Pseudomonadota; Gammaproteobacteria; Oceanospirillales; Halomonadaceae.